GUCAACGGUCAUACCACGUUGAAAAUACCAGUUCUCGUCCGAUCACUGCAGUCAAGCAACGUUGGGCACGGUUAGUACUUGGAUGGGUGACCGCUUAGGAAUACCGUAUACUGUUGACA
This 119-nucleotide ribosomal RNA is filed under the name Harpegnathos saltator (Jerdon's jumping ant). Lineage: Eukaryota; Metazoa; Arthropoda; Insecta; Hymenoptera; Formicidae. The record is from RNAcentral.